AGAUGUGUCUAACAUAGAAAAAACUAAAAUAAAUCUAAAUCGUGUCGUUUGACGACGAGUCAUGUCUACGAGAAGGCGGUGUAGGUAAGACACCUAUGAGGAUCGACAAACGAUUUUGGAGUAGUUGAUCAACUUGCUCACGCACCUCUUGUUGCAAUUCGUGUCUCAUUUAUUCACGUAAUUCUUCUCUCAUUUUUUAUCUAAUCUCUUCUCUGAUCUGUGUUCUCAUAUCAUGCUUCAUCUCUUCCUUACUUUCUUGCAAAUGAUGCCCGACACACUCAUUCACUCGAGCAUUAAAGUCUAUAUCUUGAAGUGGAGAUAUCGAAAUAGAGGAUGCACCAACAUGCCCA
This 350-nucleotide long non-coding RNA is filed under the name Nicotiana benthamiana. RNAcentral's name for it is "long non-coding RNA (NBEN_LNC007467)". The record is from RNAcentral. Lineage: Eukaryota; Viridiplantae; Streptophyta; Magnoliopsida; Solanales; Solanaceae.